This 33403-nucleotide long non-coding RNA is filed under the name Malus domestica (apple). RNAcentral's name for it is "long non-coding RNA (MDOM_LNC011634)". The record is from RNAcentral. Lineage: Eukaryota; Viridiplantae; Streptophyta; Magnoliopsida; Rosales; Rosaceae.
GCUGGUAAGGAAGUCAACUGCCUUCACAUCAGGUGAUAGAUCUCUACGUAUUAUAUUGGCUAAAGAAAGCUCAGCCCUUUCUAAGGUCCCGAGCUGGUGGUUGACAGUAAUCCCAUCCCACUGCAAAUUCUUAACAUCUGAAGCAAAUAUGCUUACUGUUGUACACCACUCCGAACGCCAAUCAAUGCGUACAUCUUCAAUCUUACGACCGAUGAUUUUCAGUCGACGAACUGUCCAACUGUUGCUCGAAAUACUAAAUGAUUUUAGUGAUGAGCUCUCAAUGAUGAUAUCACCUACCCCAUUCUCUAGAUGGAUCCUACUGAUAUCAAUGUCAAGAAUUUCAACCUUGCACCUUAAAGCAUUUUCGAUCCACGAAAUAAACCGACGUCCUACCCCCUCACAAAUGCAUGGGGUUUCAUUUCCAAAAAUAUGUUCGCGGACGUCAAAUCUAAUACCUAAAUGAAGGAUUCUGUUCUCCCCACGAUGGUCUAAGAACCUAUCCACAGCAUUUGCGAACCUAGACCACUUAUCACAAGUUGAUAUAUCUACUUUAGACAAAUCUAAUCUGAAACUGGGAGUUGACAAAUGGAGCUCCUUGCAGCGUUUGGAUAAACUCCCAAAGCGAGAGAGGUCUCCAAAUGGAAGCAACGAAAGGAUUCCAUGAGCAAUUUCGUCUGAAAGACUACUCAGCCUAUCCACCCUAAACUCUAGACUAACUCUGGGAACUUUUUCACUACUCGUACUUGCCCUACAAGUCUCCAUUUACCUGCUCUACAAAAUAACAUAGUAUAAGGAUGCCUUUGCUAGCCGGAGGAGAGAUACAGAGAGAAAGAGAGGGGAAGAAAAGCUUACCUUUGCUUAACGGCGACAAGAGGGUGAAGAUGAUGAGCUUGUUUUGAAGGAUUUGCGAUGAGAGGGGUUGUCUUUCGGGAGUUAAAAAGUCAAAGGUGAAUAAAUAAUAAAUAUGCAUUAAAUAAUAUAAAAUAUUAUUAUAGUAUUUAAUAAAAUAUUACUAUAUAUGUAUAAAUUAAUAUAAUAUUAUAAUUUCUUAAUUAUCUUUUUUUUAAUUUGACACUGCACUAAAUGUUUCACUAAGUUAGUCCAGUUUAAAUCCCACCCCCAUAUUUUCAUCCUAUUUCUAUUUUUCCCCUAGAACAUAUUUGUUAUCUAUCAAUUUAGUCACUUAUUUUCUUUCAAUUCUAACCCUUGAUCUGGAAAUGCUAUUGUUCUUAAACUGCCAUGUGGCAGCUCUCAUAUCUCUCUCUUCUUCCCUCUAUUCCCGAAACACUCCCCAUCAUAGAACCUUUCUCUUUUGUUUAUUUUUUUUCAGUUCUUCUCUCUCUCUCUCUCUCUCACUCUCUAAGCUCCGAGAGCUUCUCUCUAACUUUCACCUCACUUCCUUCACAAAUCAAACCCCAAAAACCAUUUCCAUUUCUUAAAAUUCCAUCUUUUGGGUAGUUUAUUAAAUUGUACAUUUUCGUGCUUAGGUGAAGUUGCUAGUGGAGACUUUCUUAAUCAUUUUCCACACAAUUCUGCUGCUACGGAGUAUCUGUGAGUGGAUCACCUUCGAAAAUUGCAUGUUUUAUUGAUAGAAUUGCAUAAUUUAAUAGCAUGACUUGCAUAAUUAUUGAUUUGAGGAAUACUUUACAGGAAGCAUGAUGAUUUGAUUAUACGUGAUUAUAUAUAUAUGUUUUGAAUUAUUUCCAUUAUAUCGUAUUUUCUAUAGAACCCUCAUUCUGGUAGACUAUCUGAUCGAUGACGAUAGGAUGCUAAGAAUGUGUUUCAAAUGACUUUCGAACACCUCUUCGUAGUAUAGAGGAUCAAUGAAUUUAUGCUACGAAGUUGUAUUUUAGAGAUGAAUUAUGUUUUGUGCAUACCUAGUGAACACUAUGCCGCUUGGGGCGAGGAUCUGGUGUUGGCAUUGAGGCCGGGAGAAAUAAUCCCUAGCGAAAGGCUAAGGGACACAGAGACAUGCAUUGGGCCGGGAGGGAGAUAUCUCUGGCUACGGGCACAUAGACUGAGGUGCAGACAUUGGGCCGGGAGUAUUAUUAUUCAGUGCACUCACUAGCAGCACAACUUGUGUUAUGCUUCCUGAUACGAUUUCUGAUACGAUUCCUGAUACGAUUUCUGAUACGAAUCCUGAUACGAUUUCUGAUACGAAUCCUGAUAUGAUUUCUGAUAUGAUUUUCUGAGAUUGAUUUGCAGAUGAAUAUAUGAAUUGUUUUUAUGGCAUGCUAGAGUUUUCUGAAAAGCUUAUCACUUAUUAUUCUAGUAGUUUUCAUAAUUAAACUGUGGGGGUUAGUAUGUUCAUAAUUGUUUUCGUACUACGUAUGUAUAUAAACUUGGUCCACUCACCCUUGUUUUGCGCCCCCAUUCAAGUCUUAGAAACGAGGCAUAGAAUCCCGGCAUUAAGGUACUUCCGCAACGGCAUCUUCGAGUCCUCUCGGGGUAGGACCCACUCCUUUGUUCAUUCAAUCUUAUCUUAAUUCUUGUUAGUGACUAGGUUUAGCUGUAUGCUCUGAACAUGUUCCUAAAUUGUUAAUUCAUUGUUUUUUUUUUAUUCAUAACCCAUAUUUAUUUCUUAUUCCUAGCUUUUGUAUCAAUUAAUGGCUUUUGUCACCCUCGGGUGUCGGCCAGCACGUGCCUAUCUUGGUAUUCGGGUAAUAUCAGGGUUGGGGCGUGUCAGCGGCCGCCCAUCUUCUCAUUGGAAAUCAAGCUCAGGAGCGACAAUCCACCCCUCUGAUGUCGUCGAAAAACCUGCAAGGUGAAGUCAUGGCUGCUGUAGGCUGCAUAUCUUUGCAACGACUGUGUUUUCUUUUGUUAUAAACAAGUCCAUGAAAAUGAUGGACUCCCUUGUCCUCCUUGAGUUUGCUUGGUAAUGGGAAGGGGGACGCGGGUUGUUGUUUGAUGCGUCUGGGUAUUUCUUCCCCUUGCAUUACCAGGUUGUCUCUGCUGUUUGCCUCUGGGUAGGCUUCUAUUGUUCUUGUGGCUUCUGUGCCCUGGUUUAAUCGAUUCCAGUUUAUCCAAAAAAAAAAAAAAAAAACAAGUCCAUGAAAAUGAUGCAUCGUUUCGUUUGCCUUUAAAACUGUAAAUAUAAUAGACAUUGGACGACGUCGUUUGAGCAUAAAAAAUAAACACAACAUAAGGGGGACCAUUUGUCCCCAUUAACCCUCGCAUAUUCAUUCACUUCCCCAAUUCCCACCCCACUGCCGUGCCUUGUGCCUUUUUAAAAUUUAAAUGGUUAAUUCCUAAUUUAACAUAAAUGUUUGCUUAAUUGACUUUCUUUAUAAGAAUUAUAAUGUAAUAUGGGUAUUGAUUAUUGAUAUGAAUCAUGUGAUUAUUGAUAUGAAUCAUGUGAUUAUUGAUAUGAAUCAUAUGAUUAUUGAUGAAUAAGUGGAUAUGUUUAUUCCUUGGAAUUUAAAGAAUUGAAUCUUGAAGCAUUUUUUACCUGAUUUUUAUUGUAAUUUGAUCAUUGAUUUAGACUAGCUUUUUCACUAGUUUGAUCCUUCAUUUUUGCUGCUAAUUUCACUGUGGGAAUCAGAUGAUGCCUCAAACUUGUAGAUUUUUAGGCAAAAUUUAGCUACCAUUUCGAAAGGGUGUAGCUUUUGUCAAAAUUUAAUGCUUGAAAGGGGUUGACGUAUCAGCUAUUGCUUAAAGUUGCAGUUUUUAUUUUGAAAAAAAAAAGUUAAUUUUUAUUAGGUAAAUAUGUUUUCAAAAAACUCAAAUUGUUAUGAUAAAUCACUGUUUUCACAUUUGGCAUAUCACACUAGAGUUGCUUGUAUAGGCUUCGUUUGGAUUAUAUGGUUUUACUAGCAAACAAUGCCCCGCACAAUGCUGCGGGAUUGAAAACGAUAUAAAAUUUUGUAUAGUACUAUUUACAUACAAAAGAUUUAGUAGAUAGUCCUAUUAAAAAUCAUAUAGAAUCUAGAAACAAUCAGAUUGUGAUAGAUAAGCUUAAUAUGUGCAUACCCCUAUUUACUUUGAACUCCCCUGCAUACAACAACAACGAAGUCUUAACUUACAAAAAUCACAGAUCAAAUUAAAUAAAAAAUCCAAUAAAACUUAAUCACAAAUUUCAUCUGGAUAAUUAUAAAAUACAACAACAACAACAACAACAACAAAGCCUUUUCCCACUAAGUGGGGUCGGCUAUAUGAAUCCUAGAACGCCAUUGCGCUCGGUUUUGUGUCAUGUCCUCCGUUAGAUCCAAGUACUCUAAGUCUUUUCUUAGAGUCUCUUCCAAAGUUUUCCUAGGUUUUCCUCUACCCCUUCGGCCCUGAACCUCUGUCCCGUAGUCACAUCUUCGAACCGGAGCGUCAUUCGGCCUUCUUUGCACAUGUCCAAAUCACCGGAGCCGAUUUUCUCUCAUCUUUCCUACAAUUUCGGCUACUCCUACUUUACCUCGGAUAUCCUCAUUCCCAAUCUUAUCCUUUCUCGUGUGCCCACACAUCCCACGAAGCAUCCUCAUCUCCGCUACACCCAUUUUGUGUACGUGUUGAUGCUUCACCGCCCAACAUUCUGUGUCAUACAACAUCGCUGGCCUUAUUGCCGUCCUAUAAAAUUUUCCCCUUGAGCUUCAGUGGCCUACGACGGUCACACAAACACGCCGGAUGCAUUCUUACACUUCAUCCAUCCAGCUCGUAUUCUAUGGUUGAGAUCUCCAUCUAAUUCUCCGUUCUCUUGCAAGAUAGAUCCUAGGUAGCGAAAACGGUCGCUUUUUGUGAUCUUCGCUAGAUUGCUCCGGUCAUUAGCGUGGAUAAGUAUAUAAAUGGAUAGAGAUAGGAAAGCAAACACAAGAUGUAUGUGGUUCACCCAGAUUGGCUACGUCCACGGAAUAGAAGAGUUCUCAUUAAUUGUGAAGGGUUUACACAAGUACAUAGGUUCAAGCUCUCCUUUAGUGAGUACAAGUGAAUGAUUUAGUACAAAUGACAUUAGGAAAAUAUUGUGGGAGAAUGAUCUCGUAAUCACGAAACUUCUAAGUAUCGGAGUGUGGUGUCGUUUUGACUUGCCUUAUCUGUCUCAUAGGUAGAUGUGGCAUCUUCUCUGGAAGUACUCUUCCUCCAUCCAGGGGUGGUAUCUUUAACUGGUGGAGAUGCACAAGGUAAUGUAUCAAUUUCACUUGAAGCUUACUUGUAGUUUCAGGCUUGGUCAAGCGCGAUACAAACCAUGUAGUAGGAGUCCCCCAAGUCGCCGAGCUAGGGGGUCUGCUGAAAGAGGUGACAGACAAGGUAAGCAAUCAGAGCUCCGACUGAUUGUUCACCUUCUCCCCAUCUUGCAGCAGCAUGAAGGAUAAAGAGAAGAAAAAUGAGAAGAGAUGAUAUGAGAUACUUUUGCUUUUGAAGAAGUAACUUUCCACAGGCUUAUUCUUGAACUGAGCUGGAGGGUUUUUCUGGUUUCCUCCAGAGUAUAAGGCCGACUGAAGAAUUUGAGGGUCAAAACAAGUCCAUCAAAUCUAGAGUACGUUCCACCCUGCUGAUAUGGGAUACUUUUGCUUUUGACAGAGUAAUGGAUGUAUCGGCACGUGUGCUGUUACGCUUGUCUCCACAUGCUUUCCUUGUAUCCUUCGCACUUGCCCUAUCUGUUCCUCAAGCAGAUGCGGAAUCUUCCCUGGAAAAUAUAAGAUGUUGAAGAUGAGUACUCGAGAGCAAUGCCAGGUAAGUAAUCAGGUAAGGGGUUCCAGGCAGUCAGUUCAUGGCUGGAAGCUUGAUUCCAAGUGCUGACUGAUUGCUCUCUUUCUCCUUGUCUUGCAGGUAAAAACAAGGCCAAAGGAAAAGACAGGGAAAAAGCAUGAUAUGGGAUACUCUUGCUUUUAACCCUGAUGAUAUGAGAUAUUCUUGCUCUAGUAUAUCUUGUUUGCAGAGGUAUUAUCGGGGGGAAGGAAAGCUGAAUAUUUCGAAAGGCUUCGUUGGGAGUGCCCUCUCAGAUAUGAUGAAGGGUUGAGCAUUUUUGCAGGUCUGCCUGUCUGUUGGGGAUGGAGGUCGACAUAUAUAGGAGUCUCCCUAACAGAAGUAGUAAUGCUAUUCCUUUACCCUGCUUGGUCAUAGCACGGUAGUGGGAGCUGCCAGUUUCACAUGUUUUAACUCUGUCAGAGCACUUUGAAAAAGUGGUCUGUGGUAUCUGGCUCUCGAGAUUCGGAGAACAAUGCCUCUUCGAUUUUUGAGAAAGCAAUCAUGCUGGGGGUCUGGCUCUCGAGAUUCGGAGAGCAGUGUCUCUUCGAUUUUUUAGAAAGUAAUCAUGUUGGGAGUUUGGCUCUCGAGAUUCGGAGGGCGGUGCCUCUUCGAUUUUGGAGCAAGCAAUCUUGUUGGGAGUGUUGUCUCGAAUGUGAGUAAAGGUUGGGCAUGUUUGCUAGUCUACCUUGCCACGAAGCACAAAGGUUGACACACAUGGACUUUCCAAUUAUCCAGCAAUGGUACUGUUCCUUUACCCUCUCUUCGAUUUUGAGAAAGUAGUCAUGUUGGGAGUCUGGCUCUCGAGAUUCGGAGGACGGUGUCUCUUCGAUUUUGGAGCAAGCAACCUUGUUGGGAGUGUUUUCUCGAAUGUGAGUAAAGGUUGGGCAUGUUUGCUAGUCUACCUUGCCACGAAGCACAUAGGUUGACAAACAGGGACUUUCCAAUUAUCCAGCAGUGGUACUGUUCCUUUACCCUUGUGGGUAAUAAUAUGGUAGCUAGACCUUCAAAAUUUAUAUGUGUCUAAACUUUGUUAGUGCUGUUUCUUUGCUAUUCUUUUACCUUUCUUGGUCAGAGCGAUUUAGUGGGAGUUGCAAGCUUCACGUGCUCAACUUUGGCAGAGAACUUUGGCAAAGUUAUCUGUGGUACCCAUGAGCUAUUGUUGCGUGUGGGAAGUGGGUGAUUGAACAGUAAGAUUUAUGUGCUUUCUACUUCACCAGAAGUCUUCGACAGAAUGCCCAUAAUUUCUGCAAAGCUGAGUGUGCGUGUGACAGGUGCUGACAAGGCUAGAAAAGUAGGUGCCUCUUCGAUUUCUGAGAUCGGCCCUCGUGGUCUCUAAGCAGCCCAGCUUUUGAGAAAGCGAGAGCCUCUUCGAUUGAUUCGGAGAACGAUGCCUCAUCGAUUUUUGAGAAAGCAAUCAUGCUGGGGGUCUGGCUCUCGAAGAUUCGGGGAGCAGUGUCUCUUCGAUUUUUGAGAAAGUAAUCAUGUUGGGAGUCUGGCUCUCGAGAUUCGGAGGGCGGUGCCUCUUCAAUUUUGGAGCAAGCAAUCUUGUUGGGAGUAUUUUCUCGAAUGUGAGUAAAGGUUGGGCAUGUUUGCUAGUCUACCUUGCCACGAAGCACAGAGGUUGACACACAGGGACUUUCCAAUUAUCCAGCAAUGGUACUGUUCCUUUACCCUCUCUUCGAUUUUUUAAUAAAGUAGUCAUGUUGGGAGUCUGGCUCUCGAGAUUCGGAGGACGGUGCCUCUUCGAUUUUGGAGCAAGCAAUCUUAUUGGGAGUGUUUUCUCGAAUGUGAGUAAAGGUUGGGCAUGUUUGCUAGUCUACCUUGCCACGAAGCACAGAGGUUGACACACAGGGACUUUCCAAUUAUCCAGCAGUGGUACUGUUCCUUUACCCUUGUGGGUAAUAAUAUGGUAGCUAGACCUUCAAAAUUUAUGGGUCUAAACUUUGUUAGUGCUGUUUCUUUGCUAUUCUUUUACCCUUCUUGGUCAGAGCGAUGUAGUGGGAGCUGCAAGCUUCACGUGCUCAACUUUGGCAGAGAACUUUGGCAAAGUUAUCUGUGGUACCCAUGAGCUAUUGUUGCGUGUGGGAAGUGGGUGAUUGAACAGUAAGAUUCAUGUGUUUUCUACUUCCCCAGAAGUCUUCGACAGAAUGCCCAUAAUUUCCGCAAAGCUGAGUGUGCGUGUGACAGGUGCUGACAAGGCUGGAAAAGUAGGUGCCUCUUCGAUUUCUGAGAUCGGCCCUCGUGGUCUCUGGGGAGCCCAGCUUUUGAGAAAGCGAGCGCCUCUUCGAUUUCUGAGAUCAGGCCUUCGUGGUCUUUGAGCAGCCCAACUUUUGAGAAAGCAAACGCCUCUUCGAUUUCUGAGAUCAACCCUCGUGAUCUCUAAGCAGCCCAGCUUUUGAGAAAGCAAACGCCUCUUCGAUUUCUGAGCAGGCGCCUCUUCGAUUUCUGAAGCUCCGUCGAGUGCAGAUUUUUAUAGGGGCUGGCAUUAAGUUCCAAAGCACACUUGAAUCUCCACCAGUAGAAGCUUCAUUCUUGCACUUCUAAGAUCUUGAUUUGUCCGACCUCUUCUCUUUUCAACACCUUUGAAAAUGUCUGGCCCCUCCGACCGUCGUUUUGACUUGAACCUUGUUGAAGAGGCAGCCCCGCCUUCUCCAGACAACAUAUGGCGCCCAUCCUUCGUCUCCCUUACUGGUCCUCUUACCGUUGGGGAUUCCGUGAUGAAGAAUGAUAUGACCGCUGCGGUGGUGGCCAGGAACCUUCUCACUCCCAAAGAUAACAGACUACUUUCCAAACGGUCUGAUGAGUUAGCUGUUAAGGAUUCGCUGGCUCUCAGUGUUCAGUGUGCAGGUUCUGUGUCUAAUAUGGCCCAACGCCUAUUUGGUCGAACCCGCCAAGUUGAAUCAUUGGCGGCUGAAGUGAUGAGUCUCAAACAGGAGAUUAAAGGGCUCAAGCAUGAGAAUAAACAGUUGCACCGGCUCGCACAUGACUAUGCUACAAACAUGAAGAGGAAGCUUGACCAGAUGAAGGAAACUGAUGGUCAGGUUUUACUUGAUCAUCAGAGAUUUGUGGGUUUGUUCCAAAGGCAUUUAUUGCCUUCGUCUUCUGGGGCUGUACCGCGUAAUGAAGCUCCAAAUGAUCAACCUCUGAUGCCUCAUCCUUCUAGGGUUCUGUCCAGUACUGAGGCUCCAAAUGAUCCCCCUCCGGUGCCUUCUCUUUUCUGGGGCUCUACCGACUGCUGAGACUUCUCCUAAGCAACCUUUGUGAAGGCUCCCUCUUGUGUGUUUAUUUUGACUCAUGUAUAUGUACAUAUUUGUAGCUUAUCGGGGAUAUCAAUAAAUAAGCUUUCCUUCAUUUCAACGUAUUGUGUUAAAUACACCAAAGCCUUUUUCGCUAAGUUCUUUGAAUUUUCUUUUGUUGAAGCUUGUAUGUUGAAGCUUUCUGAGUGGAGCAUGUAGGUUGGGGUAGUGUUCCCUUAAUUUUCCGAGUGAGGAAAACUUCUCGGUUGGAGACUUGGAAAAUCCAAGUCACUGAGUGGGAUCGGCUAUAUGAAUCUUAGAACGCCAUUGUGCUCGAUCCUGUGUCAUGUCCUUCUUUAGAUCCAAGUACUCUAAGUCUUUUCUUAGAGUCUAUUCCAAAGUUUUCCUAGGUCUUCCUCUACCCCUUCGGCCCUGAACCUCUGUCCCAUAGUCGCAUCUUCUAAUCGGAGCGUCAGUAGGCCUUCUUUGCAUAUGUCCAAACCACCGUAACCGAUUUUCUCUCAUCUUUCCUUCAAUUUCGGCUACUCCUACUUUACCCCGGAUAUCCUCAUUCCUAAUCUUAUCCUUUCUCGUGUGCCCACACAUCCAACGAAGCAUCCUCAUCUCCGCUACACCCAUUUUGUGUACGUGUUGAUGUUUCACCGCCCAACAUUCUGUGCCAUACAGCAUCGCCGGCCUUAUUGCCGUCCUAUAAAAUUUUCCCUUGAGCUUCAGUGGCAUACGGCGGUCACAUAACACACGCCGGAUGCACUCUUCCACUUCAUCCAUCCAGCUUGUAUUCUAUGGUUGAGAUCUCCAUCUAAUUCUCCGUUCUUUUGCAAGAUAGAUCCUACUAGGUAACGAAAACGGUCGCUCUUUGGUAUUUCUUGAUCUCCGAUCCUCACCCCUAACUCGUUUUGGCCUCCAUUUACACUGAACUUGCACUCCAUAUAUUCUGUCUUUGAUCGGCUUAGGCGAAGACCUUUAGAUUCCAACACUUCUCUCCAAAGGUUAAGCUUUGCAUUUACCCCUUCCUGAGUUUCAUCUAUCAACACUAUAUCGUCUGCGAACAGCAUACACCAAGGAAUAUCAUCUUGAAUAUGUCCUGUUAACUCAUCCAUUACCAACGCAAAAAGGUAAGGACUUAAGGAUGAGCCUUGAUGUAAUCCUACAGUUAUGGGAAAGCUUUCGGUUUGUCCUUCAUGAGUUCUUACGGCAGUCUUUACUCCUUCAUACAUAUCCUUUAUAGCUUGGAUAUAUGCUACUCGUACUCCUUUAUUCUCUAAAAUCCUCCAAAGAAUGUCUCUUGGGACCCUAUCAUACGCUUUUUCCAAAUCUAUAAAGACCAUGUGUAAAUCCUUUUUCCCAUCUCUAUAUCUUUCCAUCAAUCUUCGUAAGAGAUAGAUUGCCUCCAUGGUUGAGCGCCCCUGGCAUGAACCCGAAUUGGUUGUCCGAAACCCGUGUCUCUUGCCUCAAUCUAUGCUCAAUGACUCUCUCCCAGAGCUUCAUUGUAUGACUCAUUAGCUUAAUACCCCUAUAGUUCAUGCAAUUUUGUACGUCGCCCUUAUUCUUGUAGAUAAGCACCAAAGUGCUCGUUCGCCACUCAUUUGGCAUCUUCUUCGUUUUCAAAAAUCCUAUUGAAAAGGUCAGUGAGCCAUGUUAUACCUGUCUCUCCCAAAAGUUUCCACACUUCGAUUGGUAUAUCGUCUGGGCCUAUUGCUUUUUUAUGCUUUAUCUUCUUCAAAGCUACAACCACUUCUUCCUUCCGGAUUCGACGAUAAAAAGAGUAGUUUCUACACUCUUCUGAGUUACUCAACUCCCCUAAAGAAGCACUCAUUUCAUGUCCUUCAUUGAAGAGAUUAUGAAAAUAACCUCUCUCAUCUGUCUUUAACCGCGUUCUCUGUGUAGCAAGAACCUUUCCAUCCUCAUCAUUGAUGCACCUCACUUGGUUUAGGUCCCUUGUCUUCUUUUCCCUUGCUCUAGAUAGUUUAUAGAUAUCCAACUCUCCUUCUUUGGUAUCUAGUCGUUUAUACAUAUCGUCGUAAGCCGCUAACUUAGCUUCUCUGACAGCUUUCUUCGCCUCUUGCUUCGCUUUUCUAUACCUUUCACCAUUUUCAUCGGUCCUCUCCUUGUAUAAGGCUUUACAACAUUCCUUCUUAGCCUUCACCUUUGUUUGUACCUCCUCAUUCCACCACCAAGAUUCCUUUUGGUGUGGGGCAAAGCCCUUGGACUCUCCUAAUAUCUCUUUUGCUACUUUUCGGAUACAACUAGCCAUGGAAUCCCACAUUUGGCUAGCUUCCCCAAGAAGAUUAAAAGGGUCAAAUGAGUGAAUUAGGAAUUUAGGAGAAGACAUAAAUACUUAUAAAUAAAAAUAAAAAAUAAACCAAAAUCAAUAUUAACAUUUUCUAUUCAUGUUCAUGGUUCUCUACAUAAAGCAUAUUUGUUGAUUUGGUAAUGCUAAAGAGACUAAAUUUAUAGACAAAAUUUGCAAACUAAAUGAUGUGUCACCAAUAGAAAUGAGCACAUUUAUCGUCACUUAAGUCAUAAUUCAAAUCCAAUCAUCAACUUCUAUAUUACUUAGUUUGCAAAAUUUAAUUUACAAAUUUUAUCUUAUUAGCAUUACCCUAAAUGAUUUAAAAGUUAAAGCAAAGGCUUUGGCCUUUUACGGCAUAUUAAAUACCUUCCCUUUCCUCCAAAAAAAAAAAUAAAAAAUAAAAAACCUCCCUUAGUUUGAAAAAUAAAACGACUUUGCAUCAGCAGCAAGCUUUGUUUUUCAGUCUUUUUUUAUCCUAAUCCACCUUUUAUGACAUAUUGUUUUUCAGUCUUUUUUUUUAAUUUUUUUUUAUCAUAAUCCAUCCUUUUGUUGGUCUGAGACAUUUCAUCUCUAUUUCCUCACAAAAUCUCCCUGAUUAUUCAGCCAUUUAUUUACAUCUGUGAAAUUCAAAUUCAAACUUAGCAGAACGCACAAACCAAACUUAGAUUAGGAAAAAUCCUCAAUUUCUCAAAAUCCCACCAUAUUUUUCAUAUCGAUUGCCCAGCGGCGAGAAAUUUUCGAAUGAGAAAGAUGGGGACUUUUAGAGAGGAACCAAAAACACCAAUCCUCUCCCUUUCAUCUCAGAAACCGAAAUCACUCGUUGCAUGCCUCGUUACGUUCCAGCGAGGAGAGGGUUCUUUUUUGUUAGUUUGGUAGUCGUCCCAACUGGGUCGAGGGGAGAGGAGUGAGAGGAAGAGAGAGAAGGGAGAACCAAGAAAAAGAAAAUAUAAAAUAAAUACAGUAUAUAUAUAUAUGAUGGGUGUAUCAGGAUAUAAUCAAAAUUCGUGUAAAAUUAGGAGGGUAAAAUCGACAGACCAUUGUUCUUAUCAACAGUGUUUUAGGGUAUUUUCAGCUUUUGUAUAUAUUAAAUUUGAAUGGACAAACUUGUAAAUUCAAUCCUCUUGACCGAACGAGGAUAUAAUCAAAAUUAGUGUAAAAUUAGGAGGGUAAAAUCGACAGACCAUUGUUCUUAUCAACAGUGUUUUAGGGUAUUUUCAGCUUUAGUAUAUAUUAAAUUUGAAUGGACAAACCUGUAAAUUCAAUCCUCUUGACCGAACGAGGCCAUAUGGUAAUAUGAUCGAAGAGAUGGACAUCACUACAAUGCCCCUUUCCCUUAAAGCUAUUGAACGAGUAGCAAAUUUGCAGCAUAAAAUUUCAUCAGCACUUGUUUGUCUUGAUCAAGGUAUUAAAUAUCGGUAAUAUCGGAAAUAUCGGUAGUCCGAAAAUACGGAAAUAUCGAUGGAAAUAUUGGGAUAAUAUCGAUAUCGAUAAAAAUUACAUGGAAACCACGGAAAUUGUAAGAAAAACUUGUAAAUUUUUAUUGAAACUUUGCAGGAUGUUUAUUUAGUCAAUUAUCUAUUAGUUUAUCACAAAAAAUUGGAAGGAAAUGCAUUGCAUAAUGGAUUUAACAUGAUCAAGUUGAUUAUAUAGCGAGCUGACAAACAUUGUGAGUGUAGAAAAUAUGUAGUAAUUAAUGAAAGAAGUUUAAACACACCAAUUGGGGCUUAUUGUGGCAAGUUUUUUAGAUAUGACCUCGCAUCAAGUCGUCUUUUGUGUUAAUUUGUAAUCUUAACUGGUUUUGUUGUGUUGUGUCAAUUAGUUAAAUUAAGCGGUACAUCCAAUUGGGGCUUAUAAACAUUUUAAUUCUCCUUAAAAAUCUAAGGGCAUUUAAUCAGGAUUUUAAGUGAUUCUUUAAAGUUUAAGGGGUAUUCGAUCAUGAUUUUUAAGAAAUUCAUACAUUCCAAAUGUAUUCAUUUAGAAAUUGAUUCGAAGAGAUUUUUAAAAAGUUGGGAAACUCGAAAAAAUUAGAAAUAUUUCACAUACUAUUUUAAACAUUCUCAAAUCGCUCUAUGAAAAUUUGAGGGAAUUCACUUAAAAUUUUACAUAAAAGUUUUAAAAAUUAUUAAACUUCAUCAAAAUGCAUAAAUUUUUAAAUCUAUUAUAAUCCUUUAAAAUCUGAAUGGAGUAAAAAAUUCAAAUCUAAAUCUAAUAUGAAACAAUCACUAGAUUACAUAGAAUUUCUAAACCAAAUCUAACAAGGAUCAAUUACAAUUCUAAUACGAUGUUGUAAUUACUUGGAGUUUUUUAGGGCAAUAUGUAACACCCACCCCCAUUUAUAAAGAUAUAUUUGUGUAAUUAUCCCCUAAACAUUUUAAUAUAUCAAAUUGGUCCUCUUUGACUACCCAAUCAGGAUCCAAAACAUUGGAUCCCUUUCUUUCUGAAGUGGCCACGUGGCAGCCCCCCUCCACUCUUCUCUUUUCUCUCUCUUUUCUCCCGUGACUCCCUUCUUCUUUUCUUCUUCUUUCUGUUUUCUUUUCUUUUUCUUCUGUCUCCCUCUCGGCUCGCUCUCUCAUAUCUCCCUCAUCUAUCUUCUCUGCACCACAGCACGCACGCACCCAUCUCCCUGCGCGAGGAACAUCACCAUCACCAUCUCGUCCUCAUGGCCGCGCUCCACGCCCUUCGGCACCACCGGCCGUGUCAAAGGCGUUAUGUUGACUCACCGCAAUUUCAUCGCCCUCAUGGCCGCGCUCCACGCCCUUCGGCGUAAACCUGACCCGACCCUACCCGACGGCCAAGGCGUGUUGCUGUUCACGUGCCUCUGUUCCACGUGUUUGGGUUCUUCGUGGUUGUUCGGGGCGGUGGCUACGGGCGAGACCUUGGUUUUGAUGGAGCUCUCUGGUUCGUCUUCGACUCGAAGAUAACAAGUUUUCAGGUGAGAUUCCAUUGAAAUUCAGCACUCUGACCGACAUCACAUAUGUUGAUUACCUCUUGCAUGCGUGAAAUUUGAACCUUAUAUGUGAAAUUUAAGUUCAAAAUCGUGUUUUCGCAAGGUUUUUGGGACAAAAUCGGCUCAGGAAUAGGCACACCAUUUCCGGCGUUCUUCUCUGAUUGCACCGUUAAAAAAAUAUCGCGAUAUUUUAACGAAAACCAUUCGGAUACCUAUUUAAAUAUCCAUUGCGCAAAAAACUGAUAAUAUCGGCGAUAUUUUGCCGAUAUUAUCGGCAUUUUCUUCCAUGGUCUUGAUAAAUAUAUGAACAAAAUUAAUUUUGUCUAUUAUAUAAAAGAAUUUGGUUGUCUACAUUUAUUUUGGAACCCUUUACUCUUUUAAAUUUCGUCCCUCCCCCAGAAAUUAGUUCAGUUUAAGAUAGUUCGAUACAACAAAGACACGUUAGUAAGUGGAUGCCACAUGUUGUAUUUUAGAGAGGCUACAGAGACAAUGUGGCUUUUUGGGUGCAUAAGAUUUUAGUCUCCCUAAAGUUCAUACAUGAUUACUUACACGCACACUUGAGUUCACUCGCUCGCCAAGAUCCACUAUGGCCAUACCAGCACCUCUCUCAGUUCUCCAAUCUCAAUGCUUUCCUUUUCCGCUUCCUCAAUCUUCCGCCGCGAUCUCACACUGACUAAUUGUUGGAAGUUUGAGUAGAAAUUUCCUUGUCCCACAUUGGCCAUUCCCAAAAGAGUUUAUCACUUUAUAAGGCUUUGUCCUUUAAAGAAAGUAAUUGGAGUAAUAGGCCUGGAGACUAAAAUUGGGCUCACCCUUGGGGUUGGGCUUUGGGGUGUAUUAAUUAUUUGGUAAUUAAUAUAUAAUUAAUUAUAUAUUUAAUUGUCAAAAGAUGGGCCUUGGGGCUCUUGGGCUCUAAUAAUUAAAUUAAUUAAUUAUUUUCGGAAUUAAUUAAUUAUUUUUAAUUUCGAAUUUAAAUUAAUUAAUUAUUUUUUUUUUCCAAUAGACUCAUCUUUUCAGAUGAAGUCUGAAGUGUGAAAACGCAGAAACAAAAACACCCAUUUCAGCAGAUGUCUCCCAACAGUUGCAUCCCUUCCUUAUACCUGUUGUGAACAGGUACAAUCACAUUAUAUAUACAUCCAUCUGCAUGGCAUUUACAAUAUAGAAAAAUCAUAAAUCUCCUCCUGCAAUCUUAAACAUCCUUACUGAGAGAACCACACUAAUAUUCACCAGAAGUCUAUUUUCCGGUGCUGGAAUUUCUGACUUAGAUCGUUGAAUCCUGGUGGAACAGACGUCCGUAGAACUACAAGCACAUAGUAGGGACGAAAUUUCUGUUUCAAGAUUGUUGGAUAUAAGUCAACAAUCUGUGAUAAUUUAUAUAUGCUAAUAAAUAAUAAAUGCAAUAGAAACUAACAGAAAAUAUGGAUCAACAAUCUGUGAAUGUGAAUGGCGCUGUGCCAAAAUACUCAGAAAAGCCUGAGAAGUUCAAAGGGUUGGACUUCAAGAGAUGGCAACAGAAGAUGUUGUUCUUCUUGACAACAAUGAAUCUCGCUCAUGUUGUUAAGGAAGAAGCUCCGAAGUCUAAUGAGAAUCCAAUGACGAGAGAGACUGUCAUGGCAAUUGAAGCUUGGAAUCAUUCCGAGUUUUGUUGCAGAAACUAUAUCCUGAAUAGUUUGGAUGACAAUCUCUACGACAUUUAUUCUCUGUGCAAGACAGCGAAGGAGUUGUGGGAAUCCCUAGAGAAAAAGUAUAAGAUUGAUGAUGCCGGUUCAAAGAAAUUUGUUAUCGGUAAGUUUCUCAAAUAUACAAUGGUGGAUUCCAAAUCUGUUGUUUCUCAGGUCGAAGAAAUCCAGAAGUUGAUCUAUGAAUUGCAUUCUGAGGGAUGCGAGAUCAAUGAGCAUUUCCAAGUUGGGGCGAUAAUCGAGAAAUUGCCAACUUCCUGGAAUGACUUCAAAAUUUAUCUCAAGCACAAGCGUCGUGAGAUGAAUAUGGAGGAUUUGAUUCUGAGGCUACGUGUGGAAGAAGACCACAGAAAGGCAGACCGUUCUGGAGGGUUUGCAGCCAUUGAAGCCAAUGCGAAUUAUGUUGAAGGAGGAAACUCCAAGGCUAAGCCGAAAAAGAAUAAGGCUCUUGCUCCGAAAACCAAGCAGUUUGUGCAAUCUGCCCUUGCUCCUAAAGGCAAGAAUCUGAAGAAGAUUAAGGGCGCCUGCUAUGUGUGUGGCAAAUCUGGUCACAAGGCACAAGAUUGUUAUCAUCGCAAGGAUGGAAAUCAUGGCCACGGAAACAACAACAACCAUGCUAACAUGGCAACCACCGAUGAAGAAUUGGCUGCUGUUGUGUCCGAGGUUAACAUGGUCUCAAAUGUGAGUGAAUGGUUGAUGGAUACUGGUGCUACAAAGCACAUAUGCGCUGACAGAAAUCUGUUCACAGAAUAUCACCCUGCUGCCCUUGGAGAAAAGCUGUAUAUGGGCAAUUCUGCCACAUCUAUUGUGGAGGGAUAUGGCAAGGUGGUACUCAAAUUCACAUCUGGGAAAAGUUUGACCUUGCUGAAUGUGCUGCAUGUUCCUGAAAUGAGGAGGAACUUGGUUUCUGGACCAAUUCUAAUUGCUAAGGGUUUUAAACUUGUAAUGGAAUCCAACAAACUUGUACUUACCAAGGGUGGGAUGUUUGUUGGAAAGGGUUAUGUGGCUGAUGGCCUUGUGAAACUCAAUGUAAUUGUCAUUGAUGAUGCUAAUAAAAUAAAUGCUUCUACUUAUAUUGUUGAGUCUUCUAAUAUUUGGCAUGCAAGAUUAGGACAUGUUAAUUUUCGUUCCAUGCAUAGAAUGGUUAAAUUAGACUUAUUACCUAAAUUCGAAAUUGAUUUUAAUCAUAAGUGUGAAACAUGUACUGAAUCGAAAUUUGCUAAGCAAACGAGAAAGUCAAUUCUGGAAAGAUCAAAUGAAUUACUUGGAUUAAUUCAUAGUGAUCUUUGUGACUUUAAAUCCACACCAACUCGUGGAGGAAAGAAUUACUAUGUCACUUUUAUUGAUGAUUGCAGUAAGUAUUGCUAUGUUUAUUUGAUUCAUAGCAAGGACGAAGCUUUGAAUAUGUUUAAGACAUAUAAAGCCGAAGUUGAAAAUCAACUUGAGAGAAAAAUCAAAGCACUUAGAUCUGAUAGAGGAGGAGAGUAUGAGUCUACUGCCUUCUCAGAUUUUUGUGCACAACAUGGAAUUAUACAUCAAACAACAGCUCCAUACACACCACAACAAAAUGGUGUUGCCGAAAGAAAAAAUAGAACAUUCAAAGAUAUGAUUAAUUCCAUGUUAAAUAGUUCUGGGCUUCCACACAGUUUGUGGGGUGAAGCUUUGCUUACUGCAAAUUCCAUAUUGAAUAAGGUUCCUCUAAAAAGGAUUGACGAGUCACCUUAUGAGAUAUGGAAAGGACAUAAACCCACUUAUAAAACCCUCAAAGUGUGGGGUUGCUUAGCAAAGGUGCAAGUUCCGUUACCAAAAAGAACGAAACUAGGACCUAAAACUAUUGAUUGCGUAUUCAUUGGAUAUGCAAAUAAUAGUGCUGCUUAUAGGUUCCUUGUUGUGAAAUCUUCGAUUUCUGACAUACAUGUUAACACUAUAUUAGAAUCAGCGGAUGCAGAAUUCUUUGAGGAUAUAUUCCCUUACAAAGAAAAGGAAUCUGGUUCUAAUACAAAGAGGGUUCAUGAUCAUCGUCAUGAUGAAGCCUCUUCUUCUGGUGUCCAAGGAAAUGAUGUGGAACCAAGAAGAGGAAAAAGAAUCAAAGUUUCUAAAAACUUUGGACCAGAUUUCAUUUCUUUCUUGUCCGAGAAUGAACCUAGAACUUUUAAAGAAGCAAUGUCUUCUUCUGAGGCUCCUUUAUGGAAGGAAGCAAUUAAAAGUGAAAUGGAAUCCAUUAUGGAAAAUAACACAUGGGAAUUGGUUGAAUUACCUCCCGGUAGUAAACCAAUUGGUCAUAAAUGGAUUUUCAAGAAGAAACUCAAGGCGGAUGGAACCAUUGACAAGUUCAAGGCACGUUUAGUAGCCAAAGGUUAUCGCCAAAAAGAAGGUUUGGAUUAUUUCGACACCUAUUCUCCAGUUUCUCGCAUAACGUCAAUUAGGACGUUAAUAGCGAUUGCGGCUGUAUACAACUUUGAUAUCCAUCAAAUGGAUGUAAAAACAGCAUUUUUAAAUGGAGAACUAGAUGAAGAAAUAUACAUGGAACAACCUGAAGGGUUUGUGCUUAAAGGACAAGAAAGCAAAGUGUGCAAAUUAGUUAAGUCAUUAUAUGGACUUAAACAAGCACCAAAACAAUGGCACGAGAAGUUUGAUCAUACUUUGUUGACACAUGGGUUCAAAAUAAAUGAAUCUGAUAAAUGUGUCUACAUUAAGGGUAAUGAUAAAACUUGUGUUAUUGUCUGCUUGUAUGUGGAUGAUAUGCUCAUAAUGGGAAGCAAUAAAGAUGUAAUAAACAAAACAAAGAAAAUGUUGAAUUCAAGUUUUGACAUGAAAGACUUAGGUCAAGCCGAUGUCAUUUUAGGAAUUCAAAUUAAGAGAAAUAGUGAAGGAUAUGUCCUUACACAAUCCCAUUAUGCAGAAAAAAUAUUACGAAGGUUUGGUCAAUUUGACUGCAAACCUGCUGCGACUCCUUUUGAUGCUGGAUGCAAGUUGGAGAAAAAUAAAGGCGAUGCCAAAUCUCAACUUGAAUAUUCUCAAGUAAUUGGAAGUCUAAUGUACUUGAUGAAUUCAACUAGGCCCGACUUAGCUUAUGCAGUAAGUAGGCUUAGUAGAUAUACAAGUAAUCCGGCACAAGAGCAUUGGGAUGCUUUAGUAAGAGUGUUAAGGUAUUUGAAAAAUACACUUGACUACGGAUUACACUACACAAAAUAUCCACCUGUUGUAGAAGGCUUCAGUGAUGCCAAUUGGAUUUCUGACACUACAGAAUCCAAGUCGACAAGUGGAUAUGUUUUUACCUUGGGAGGUGCAGCGAUAUCUUGGAAAUCCUCUAAACAGAAAUGUAUAGCUCGGUCCACCAUGGAGUCCGAGUUUAUAGCUUUAGACUUGGCUGGCGAAGAAGCCGAGUGGCUCAAACAUUUUCUGGAGGAUAUUCCAAUGUGGCCAAAGCCGGUAACGGCUAUAUGUAUACAUUGUGAUAGUAUGGCCGCCCAAUCAAGGGCCAAAAGUCAUGUAUACAAUGGGAAGUCACGUCACAUCAGACGUCGACACAAUACUCUUAAGAAGAUGCUCUCCAAUGGAAAAUAAUAUCCAUUGAUUAUGUGAAGUCAAAGGAAAAUAUAGCUGAUCCUUUGACAAAAGGCCUACCAAGAGAGCAAAUAUUAUUUACAUCGAGGGAAAAUGGGUCUUAAGCCAAUUCAAUGAAUCGAACUGGGCGGAAACCUAACCUAGCUGAUUGGAGAUCCCAUGGUCUAGGUUCAAUAGGCAAACUGGUUGAGUUUGAUUCAAAAGUUGAACACACAACUUACCCAUUCUUAUGAUAAAAUGUGUGUUGUCUGUUGACGUUUGAGGGGUUAUGUUUUAUACAUUUAAUGACAUUAAUAUCUUGUUAUCAAGAGGAAUAUGGCAGACUAUUCUUAAUUAAUGUCACCUAUAUAGGAGUAAAUGGGGCCACAUUUAUGAGAAUUGACAUGGCUAAAUUCUCUAAAGCUCCUACGAAAUCCGGGAUCUGUUCAGGGCCAAAAUGAACACAACCGUAUGAAUUGACGUGUGGCAGCCAUGAUAUGUGUGUAGCAUAUUGUCUUGGUUUACUACUGCGGUGAACAGUUCAAGAUCUUCCACAUCCACUGCAUCACCAAGUAAACCCGAUAUGUUUUCACUAGGGUAAGUUCAAGUCCAAAAGACACUUCACCGGAUGCAUAUUAUGACUAUUCUCUCUCAGUUUUAGGCAGCCUAGUCACACAUUUGCAUUUACAUUUGCAUUCAAAUGUGGGGUCAUUGUUGGAGUUUGAAUGAAAUUUCAACUCAAAUGUGGGGUAUUGUUGGAAGUUUGAGUAGAAAUUUCCUUGUCCCACAUUGGCCAUUCCCAAAAGAGUUUAUCACUUUAUAAGGCUUUGUCCUUUAAAGAAAGUAAUUGGAGUAAUAGGCCUGGAGACUAAAAUUGGGCUCACCCUUGGGGUUGGGCUUUGGGGUGUAUUAAUUAUUUGGUAAUUAAUAUAUAAUUAAUUAUAUAUUUAAUUGUCAAAAGAUGGGCCUUGGGGCUCUUGGGCUCUAAUAAUUAAAUUAAUUAAUUAUUUUCGGAAUUAAUUAAUUAUUUUUAAUUUCGAAUUUAAAUUAAUUAAUUAUUUAUUUUUUCCAACAGACUCAUCUUUUCAGAUGAAGUCUGAAGUGUGAAAACGCAGAAACAAAAACACCCAUUUCAGCAUAUGUCUCCCAACAGUUGCAUCCCUUCCUUAUACCUGUUGUGAACAGGUACAAUCACAUUAUAUAUACAUCCAUCUGCAUGACAUUUACAAUAUAGAAAAAUCAUAAAUCUCCUCCUGCAAUCUUAAACAUCCUUACUGAGAGAACCACACUAAUAUUCGCCAGAAGUCUAUUUUCCGGUGCUGGAAUUUCUGACUUAGAUCGUUGAAUCCUGGUGGAACAGACGUCCGUAGAACUACAAGCACAGAGUAGGGACGAAAUUUCUGUUUCAAGGACAUUGCGGUACGCAAGCCUCGAUCUUAAAGUUGUCUGUUUUAUAAUUCAUAUUCUAGUUUAUAUUCUGUUAGUUUCUAUUGCAUUUAUUAUUUAUUAGCAUAUAUAAAUUAUCACAGAUUGUUGACUUAUAUCCAACACUAAUCACACAACAUUGCAAUCUAUUCCUCCCCUGAGUAACUCUAUCCGGCGAAGGCUUUCAUGAUGGUUUUGGAUAUAAGAUGCUCAAUAGUUUGAGCGUAUUGUAUUUGAUGUUUAUAUAGAGAUUACAAGUAGUGUUUGAGUGAAGAACAAACUCUUCAAAGCAAACUAAAGAUAAUAUACAGAUAAUACAAAUAGCAAAUAAUCUAUUUAAAUUCAAAUUCAAACAUCAUUAACAACCAAAGGAUUUGACUGUUUAGAAGUUUUAGCUAAGUCUUCCUUUUGGCUGAUUCGGUUUUGAUCUUCAGUGAGUGUUGUGGCAGGAAGCUUAGAUUUUGAACUUUGUUUAUCACACUCCUGCAAGCUGAGCGGUCGCCGGCGAACGGGAAGCUUGGACAGAAGAUAAUUAAACAGAUAAGUAGACAACCCUUUUGUUAGAAGUUUGCAACCUGAUCUUGGGUAGCGACGUAGCCCACCUAAAGUUCACGGCGAUCACCUUCUCACGGAUAUAAUGGUAGUCCACUUCAAUGUGGUGUGUCCGGGCAUGGAAAACUAGAUUGGAGGCCAUGGAAAUUGCAGAAAUGUUGUCACACCAAACCUUUGGUGGAGAAAGUCGUAUAUAAAGGUCAUUAAAUAACUGGCGAAACCAUGAAAUUGUGACAGCAGUAAUAGCAAGUUGGCGAUACUCAGACUCUGUGCUUGAACGAGAAACACCUUUUUGUUUCUUGGAACUCUGGGAAACAAGGUUAGAACCAAGAAAUAUGCAAUAGCCUCCAGUUGAUAUGCGGUCAUCUGGAUCUCCAGCGUAAUCAGAAUCGGAAAAUGUAGAAAGAGUUAGAGGUCCAGGUUUAUAGACAAGACCAUGAUCAGGUGUAGAUUUCAAAUAACGAAGAAUUCGCUUGACAACAAUCCAGUGUGUAGUGGAAGGUUUGUUCAUGAACUGGCAAACUUGAUUAACAAAGAAUGCAAUAUCUAGACAUGUGAAUGUGAGAUACUGAAGAGCACCUACCAUGCUUCUAAACUCAGUAAUGUCUAACAGGGGUUCGCCAUCGUAGAGACUAAGGCGUUUGCCACUGAUUGCAGGUGUGGAAACUGGUUUGCAAUAAACCAUAUUUGUGCGUUUCAGUAAAUCCAUGAUGUACUUAGACUGAGAUAAAUGCACUUCAUUGCCAAACCGAUGAACCUCCAUGCCCAAAAAAUAAUUCAAGGGACCAAGAUCCUUCAUGGAGAAAGUUGUGCCAUGUCCCUUAUUAAAGUGUUAAUGCACUGAAUAUUGUUUCCUAUUAUGAGAAUAUCGUCAACAUAGAUGAGUAAAUAAAUUCGAACCAAACCAUGAUUGUAAACAAAAAGAGAGGAAUUUUCUUGAGAAGCCAGGUUGUUGGAGCAGUGGGUGUUGGGGCGCCACGAGGAGUCUGAACAUCAAGAGCCAUGAGGCAAGCACUGGGAACACGGCCUUCAUAGGCAGUGUUCAUGCGAUUGUAACAGUCUAUGGCAGAAUGCCCAUUUCGGCAUCAUAUUUGGCACCUGAGGGGGGGACGAUCAAUAGAGGAGGUACCUGCACUGAGAACACUUGGACGUCAUUGAGGAGGACCUGCAACAUUGCCAUUAGGGCGAUGAGGGACACAAGCUUGUUCUCCACAGCGUGCAAAACCAGCAGGAGCAUGAACCCUACAUCUGCGGUUGGCAGCCAUGGCAGUUAUGGUAGGAACAUGAGUAUCGCCGAACAAAGUGAAUGUGAGAUAGCAUUUUUUAGCACUUAGGAGCAAUGCUUCCAACGCUGCAUAAGAAAUAGGGGUUUCACGGGCUUGGAUGGAUUCCACAGUAUUUUCAUACAAGGAUCCAACAUUGUUCAUGAUCAUAGCAAUCAAAUCAACAUUAGACAUGGGAGCACCAGACAAAGCCAAUUGAUCAGCCAAAAUAUUAAUUUUAUCCAGAAAAUUGGCAAUACUUGAUUGUGAGAAGAAGGUGCAUACUGUUCCUGCAAAGCUUUCUAAGUGUCGGCAGCACUAAUACACUUGACGACAUGCAUGACAGAAGGAGAGAGGGAGCUUGUGAGCCACGAAAGCACCAUCUGGUAUUGCUGAAUCCAGGGUUGCAUCAGUAAGUUGACCAUCAUCAUCUAGCAUAAAAGCAGGUGGACAUUUGGACGUUCUGUCAACAAAAGGCAUCAGACUUCGACUACAAAGUAAAGGGACAAACUGUGCAAGCCACAAAGGGUAAUUGUGAUGAUCAAGUUUCAAAGGUAGGAAGGUAGAAACAUUAAUCAGAGGAGUGGCAACGGAAGAGGCCAUUAAGUUUUAGAAGUUUGUCAUGAGACUGAAGAGAGGAUGAUACCAUAUAAGAAAUGUGCUCGAUAGUUUGAGUGUAUUGUAUUUGAUGUUUAUAUAGAGAUUACAAGUAGUGUUUGACUGAAGAACAAACUCUUCAAAGCAAACUAAAGAUAAUUUACAGAUAAGACAAAUAACAAAUAAUCUAUUUAAAUUCAAAGUUCAUUGAACAGCCAAAGGAUUUGACUGUUGGGAAGUUUUAGCUAAGUCUUCCUUUUGACUGAUUCGAUUUUGAUCUUCAGUGAGUGUUGCCUGGAAGCUUAGAUUUCGAACUUUGUUUAUCAUUGGAGUCGGAUCUUCGCGCGCUCUCCGCCGAAGCCCGCCAUCUCUACCCUGCUGUCAAGGACGGUGCUGAGCACGCAAUUAUAAAGGUGUCAGUCUCCAAACUCUUGUUCUUAAUGCUUGAAUGCGUGAGAAUGUAUGUAUGCAUUGUCAUUUGUGAAAAUUCAAAUGUUUGGUUGACUCGGAGGAAAUGAAGGAAAUGACUACUGAAGUUAAUGGUAUUGUGAUUUUGGAUGCCGAAGCUGAAAGAUUGUGAAAAAUAUAGCAAUGGAGUUAAGUAAUUACUGUUUCUCGGAAUUGAAGCUGAAACGGUAUCUGGUAUUAGCUAGUUGGGGAAGAUAAUUAUUUAAUCAGGAGUAAAUUUAGGUUAUAAAGUAAUGGAAUUGGAUUAUUAUUAGAGGAAGGCAGCAAAGUUUGUUUUACUAAUUUGUUGAUGUAAAACUUGCAGCUUCGUACUUUGUCGAGUCCCGGUGAGAUUGCGCGGAAUGAUAACAUACUGAGAAUCUUUUUGAUGAUUUGUGAAGUUAACACUGUGAAGCUGAGUGUUAUCGGACUUUCGUGCUUGCAAAAGCUAAUAUCUCAUGACGCUGUUGCUCAUUAUGCUAAUCCCAUUACCGUCUUAGAGUUAUUAUUAGUUUUGCUUUUUCUGACAGCAUGCCGAAAUGGCUGAUGAAAGUGUUCAACUUAAGACAUUAAAUACAUAAUUCCAUCUUCCUAAUACGGACGAGUUUUACAUCUUAUGUUGAGGCAGUAAUUCAAAGUAUAUGCUAUAGCUGAAUUUAUCCUUUAACAUAGAUUGGAUUAAGGGGGACAAUAAGGAAAAUGUGAAAUGUCAUGUGCAAGCCAAGCUUUUUAAUAUACCAUGCAAUAUCUGCUGGUGUGGAAUUCAGCAUUGGCUCAUUUGAUUUAGUUUUUUUGCCCCCGAAGGUUGAAGAGAGGAUCUCAGCAUUGGCUCAUUUGAUUUAUCAGCCUUCUCACCAUGGAAUUCCUCUCUUGCUUCUUUAGGACUUCUAUUCAUACUAGUUUGAGAAGACUCUGAAGUUGAAGACGCCUCUCGAAUGCCAACAUCAUCUUCCUUGGAAAUCUUACCUUUCCCCCCUCUUGAGUGUCUGGAUUUCUUUUCAGAAUCAUUCUUAACUGCACUUCACUCUUUUCUUGAAUCUUCAACUUAGAAAUCCCUAAUCUGCGCUUUACUCUUUUCUUGGAUCUUCAACUUGGAAAUCCCGAAUCUCCCCAACCCCACUUCGCCUUUGUCAAAACCCACAACCCCAAAAGCCCUCAAGACCCUCUCAACUUGGAGGCUGGCAGGUGGAGCUUGUGAAUCUGCACUAGACUGCUUAGGUCGAAAUCCAGGAAAACAUGUCUGAGCGUUUGGUAGGGAAGCUGGUGAUUACUUGAACCUGCAAUAGACUACAUGAGCAUUGGAAAUCUUCUCGCUUUCAGUCAACUUCUUGAGAUGCCCCUUUCCAAGGCGUAAUGGAUAAAUAAUCACCAUUUUCCUCAGGCUUUGAGCAUCCUCAAGGAUAAACCUUAUGAACUCGAUUUGGUUGGACCCGUAGAAGUGUCGAUUAAGGUCUACGGUUACGUCCUUAAGCUGAGACAGGAAAGGAAGCUUGCUUGACCUCCAGUAUUCCAUAGUAAGACCUGAACACUGAGAAGGAAGCAGGUAGAUCAAUUGCAAAGUUCCAAAAACAUAUCAAGAAACUAAUGAUAACUGUCAAACCGAACAUUUUACUUACUUCAUUUAGAAGGCAACGGGGCGGCGUCGAAGACUUCACGUCCAAGAUAGUUAAAUUAGGCAUUGCCCUAAGAAUAGGGACCAAUGCCAACACCAAUUCAAUACUAAAGUUUCCAAUUUUCAUAGAGAAAUCAAAAACGUUCUCUAAAGGUGGUAUUCCUUUCUUAAACAAAGCCUGCAGUUUAUUUAAAAAGAAGAAUUAAACAUCUCACUCUAAAUUAUGUUUCAUAUAACACUUAGCCAGAAGAGUAGUGUCUUUACCUUGAUGGUAUUGUGAUUUAGAGUUAAAGCUUUAACCCGGUGCACGCUGGUAAGGAAGUCAACUGCCUUCACAUCAGGUGACAGAUCUCUACGUAUGACAUCGGCCAAAGAAAGCUCGGCCCUUUCUAAGGUCCCGAACUGGUGGUUGACAGUAAUCCCAUCCCACUCCAAAUUCUUAAUAUCUGAAGCAAAUAUGCUUACUGUUGUACACCACUCCGAACGCCAAUCUAUGCGUACAUCUUUAAGCUUAUGACCGAUGAUUUUCAGUCGACGAACUGUCCAACUGUUGCUCGAAAUACUAAAUGAUUUUAGUGAUGAGCUCUCAAUGGUGAUAUCACCUACCCCAUUCGCUAGAUGGAUCCUACUGAUAUCAAGGUCAAGUAUUUCAACCUUGCACCUUAAAGCAUUUUCGAUCCACGAAAUAAACCGACGUCCUACCCCCUCACAAAUGCAUGGGGUUUCAUUUCCAAAAAUAUGUUCACGGACGUCGAAUCUAAUACCAAAGUGAAGGAUUCUGCUCUUCCCACGAUGGUCUAAGAACCUAUCCACAGAAUUUGACCACUUAUCACAAGUUGAUAUAUCAACUUUGGACAAAUCCAAUCUGAAACUGGGAGUUGACAAAUGGAGCUCCCUGCAGCGUUUGGAUAAACUCCCAAAGCGAGAGAGGUCUCCAAAUUGAAGCAACGAAAGGAUUCUAUGAGUAAUGUCGUCUGGAAGACUACUCAGCCUAUCCACCCUAAACUCUAGACUAACUCUCGGAACUUUUUCACUACUCUUACUUGCCCUACAAGUCUCCAUUACAGAGAGAAUGAGAGAUUUUAGCAGAUAUAUAUACGAUAUAUUUGGCUCUCCUUUUACCUGCUCGACAAAAAGUUGAAUAUCAGAGUGCGGAACAAACAAGACUACAAAAUAAUAGGAAUUUUAUUGAACAAAUUGAGAAUGCCGAAACGGCUACAAAAACCCUAGAGACUACAUUGUGAAUGACUUGAUUUCAAACUAAAUUCCAAGCUCUAUUUAUAGAGCAAUAAACCUAAGAAACCCUAAUACACAAAUGCCAAAAAUACCCUACUACAAAAUCAAAUCAAAUCUCCAAUUAAUUUCCUAAAUAAACCUAAUAAAUUCCAACACCCCCCGUCAAACUCAUGGUGGUACACGUCAUGAGGUUGCCAACAAGCAGAUGCGGUUGCAAGACUUCAUUAUGCUAAUUUCCGAUGCCAAUUUCAAUAUGGAAUUUCACCGGUGCCAAUGCAAGAUUCCAAUGCCAGUGCCAGUGCAAGAUUUCCAUGCCAAUGCCAGUGCAAGAUUUCCAUGCCAAUUGCGAACUUUCGAACCAACUUCAUGACAAACUGAUACGCAGCGGACAAACGGAUGAACAAAUUGAUACCCAUCUAGAACAGAUUAAAUUCCGAAGAAUCAAACCUGCUCUGAUACCAAGUUGAAUAUCAGAGUGCGGAACAAACAAGACUACAAAAUAAUAGGAAUUUUAUUGAACAAAUUGAGAAUGCCGAAACGGCUACAAAAACCUUAGAGACUACAUUGUGAAUGACUUGAUUUCAAAUGAAUAACAAAGCACCCUAUUUAUAAUAAACUAACCCUAAUCUCUAACAAAACCUAAUUCUAACGUGCUAAGCCCAAAAUACCAAACAUUAAAAUAAACUAAAUAAUAAUAUUUUCCAACACCCCCGUCAAACUUAUGGCGGUACACGACAUGAGUUUGCCAACAGAAGAUGUGGAUGCAAAACUCCAAAUUCCAGUGCUAAUGUCAAUGCCAAUGCAGAUGUAGAUGCCGAUGCAAAUUCCGAUGCCGAACAAACAAAAAAAAAAAUCCAACCAAAUAUACCAUAUUUCUUUCUUUCUUCUCUUUUCUUCUGGGCGAAACCGAUUGCAGCAGACAAGGCUUGCAAAACCAAUUGCAGCAAGCUUCAAAACUUCUAGUGCAAAGUCAACCUGCAGAAGGGGACUUCAUAGGGUUGUGAUAGAUCCGACUGGUAGGAGUCGGUGCGGGUACCGUGAACAGGUGGAUGUAGGAGCGGAGAUGCGGAGAUGGUGGUGCGGGUUGUCUGGACAUAUUGCAGUGCGGUGGUGGUGACAAGAAUGGCUUCGACUACGGAUGAGCGGAAGACGACGGACGAAACUAAUACCCAGUAAACUGACAAACAAAACUGAUACAAACAAAUGGACACUAAUCAAGAACAGAUUAAAUCCCAAAGGAUCAAACCUGCUCUGAUACCAAGUUGAAUAUCAGAGUGCGGAACAAACAAGACUACAAAAUAAUAGGAAUUUUAUUGAACAAAUUGAGAAUGCCGAAACGGCUACAAAAACCCUAGAGACUACAUUGUGAAUGACUUGAUUUCAAACUAAAUUCCAAGCUCUAUUUAUAGAGCAAUAAACCUAAGAAACCCUAAUACACAAAUGCCAAAAAUACCCUACUACAAAAUCAAAUCAAAUCUCCAAUUAAUUUCCUAAAUAAACCUAAUAAAUUCCAACACAAAAUAACACAGUAUAAGGAUACCUUUGCUAGCCGGAGGAGAGACACAGAGAGAAAGAAGAGAGGGGACGAAAAGCUUACCUUUGCUUAACAGCGGCCAGAGGGUGAAGACGGUAAGCUUGUUUUGAAGGAUUUGCGAUGAGCUUUACACUUCGUUUUGCAAGAAAAAAGAUAAGAAAAUAUGCUUCGAGAGGGGUUGUCUUUCAGGAGUUAAAAAGUCAAAGGUGAAUAAAUAAUAAAUAUGCAUUAAAUAAUAUUAAAUAAUAUAAAAUAAUAUAUAUAUAUAUAUUAAAUAAUAUAAAAUAUUACUAUACAUGUAUUAAUUAAUAUAAUAUUAUAAUUCCUUAAUUAUCUUGUUUUUUAAUCCGACACUACAUUAAAUGAUUCGCUAAGUUAGUCCAGCUUAGUUUAGUUUAAACCAGUGGUGAAGCUACAAAAGGUUUGAGACGGGUGGCCGCUCAUCAUCCUCUCAUUGGAAAUCAAGCUCAGGAACAACAGUCCACCUCUCUGAUGUCAUCGAAAAACCUGCAAGGUGAAGUCAUGGCUGCUGUAGGCUGCAUAUCUUUGUAGCAGCCGCGUUUUCUUUUGUUAUAAACAAGUCCGUGAAAAUGACGAUCAUUUCGUUUGCCUUUAAAACUGUAAAAAUAAUAAAUGUUGGAUGACGUCGUUUGGGCAUAAUAAAUAACAAAAAAAUAAACACAAGGGGGGCCACUCGUCCCAAUUAACCCUCACAUAUUCACUUCCCCAAUUCCUACCCCCACUGUCGUGCCUUGUGCCUUUUUUAAAUUUAAAUAAUCAAUUCCUAAUUUAACAUAAAUGUUUGCUCAAUUGACUUUCUUUAUAAGAAUUAUAAUGUAAUAUGGGUAUUGAUUAUUGAUAUGAAUCAUAUGAUUAUUGAUAUGAAUCAUAUAAUUAUUGAUGAAUAAGUGGAUAUGUUUGUUCCCGCUUCCUCAAUUCUUCCACCAUGAUCUCACACUGACUAAUCACGCAACGCUGCAAUCCAUUCCUUCCCCGAGGAACUCUAUCCGGCAAUGGCUUUCACGGCGGUUUUGGAGUCGGAUCUUCGCGCGCUCUCCGCCGAAGCCCGCUGUCGCUACCCUGCCGUCAAGGACGGCACUGAGCACGCAAUUAUCAAGGUGUCAUUCUCCAAACUCCUGUUCUUAAUGCUUGAAUGCGUGAGAAUGUAUGUAUGCUUUGUCAUUGGUGAAAAUUCAAAUGUUUGGUUGACUCGGAGGAAAUGAAGGAAAUGACUACUGAAGUUAAUGGUAUUGUGAUUUUUGGAUGCCGAAGCUGAAAGAGUUACUGUGGAAAGUACUUACUGUUUCUCGGAAUUGAAGCUGAAACGGUAUCUGGUAUUAGCUAGUUGGGGAAGAUAAUUAUUUAGCCAGGAGUAAACUUAGGUUACAAAGUAAUGGAAUUGGACUAUUAUUAGAGGAAAGCAGCAAAGUUUGUUUUAUUAAUUUGUUGAUGUAAAACUUGCAGCUUCGUACUUUGUCGAGUCCCGGUGAGAUUGCGCAGAAUGAUAGCAUACUGAGAAUCUUUUUGAUGGUUUGUGAAGUUAAUGUUGGAUAGUGGCCAAAUUAGUGGCCAAGUAGACAACAAGUCAAAUGUCUUUCGGCUAGUAAACUAAACAAAGAAAAGUUUAGUGUACAUCAUCAUGAGUAAAGACACAAUGAUGAUGUUUGUUAAAAAGAAAAAUGAAGGUUAUGGUCCUUUACUUUGGAUUUUUUAUCGGAUGCUUUUAUAUGGAUAAAGGUUGUAGCCGAAUGUGGGAGAGAUGGGGGAGCGGCAUCAGAUGAGAGCCAUACCAAGGAAAGCGUUCGGCUCCCCCAUUUGAAACAGUGCUGCUCAUUCCCAUUUGUUUGUAAUCCCCCUUUGUUAGUUAUCCCUAAUCAAAGAUGUUGCUGCUACAUGUUGUGUAGCUUUUGGAAGAUAUGGUAUCUGAUGUUUGUCCAUCUUCUCCAAUUGUUCAGUGAGAGCUAUUGGAUGUACGUGGGAUUUGGGUUUAAGAGUUAAAACUCUAUUUGUAAUCUCCUUUUGAAUUAGUGGAAUUUCCUCGCCGUCUCGGAACGGAACGUAGGCUUACGCCGAACUAGUAUAAAUCCUUGUGUCAUUUGGAUUAUUUGUCUUAUCAUAUUUUGACGUUGUAACUUAUUGGUUUCAUAUUUGACGUUCCGCACAACAGUUAAAACUGUGAAGCUGAGUGUUAUCGGACUUUGGUGAUUAAAAAAGCUAAUAUCCCAUGGCUAGUCCCAUUACCGUCUUAAAGUUAUUAGUUUUGCUUUUUCUGACAGCAUGCCGAAAUGGCUGAUGAAAGUGUUCAACUUAAGACUCUGCAGACUGUAUUAAUCAUAUUGCAGUCACCAUUACAUCCGGAGACAGAGGUAAGAAGCAUUAAAUACAUAAUUCCAUCUUCCUAAUACGGACGAGUUUUACAUCUUAUGCUGAGGCAGUAAUUCAUAGUAUAUGCCAUAGCUGGAUUUAUAUCCUUUAACAUAGAUUGGAUAAAGGGGGACAAUAAGGAAAAUGUGAAAUGUCAUGUGCAAGCCAAGCUUUUUAAUAUACCAUGCAAUAUCUGCUAGUGUGGAAUUCUUAGAUUUCCAUACAUUGAUAAAAAAAAUGGCAUCCACCUCACUGGAGGAUGAACACACAUUUUGUUACUCAAAAUACAUACCAGCGAAAUCAUUAUGCAACAGUUAUACAGUUUCAGACAAACCAGUGAAAAAAGUAGGGUUUUAUAAUCUUAUAUAUAAUCAUUUCAUCAAAUUUCUCCUUGAGUACUUACUACUACUUGCUAAUGUGUCAGUGGGUGUUGGUCUAUGUGAUUGCUCAAAAAAGUUUGUCUUUUGAACUUUUCUACUGGAUAUGGUAAUGCCAUACCAUUUACGGGCACUGAGAGAUAUUGCUGACCAUAUUACAAGAAAGACACUUCACUUCAUCCAUUAACUCAGCUUCAUUUUCCAUUUUGUCAUUGAAUUCUUAUUAUCUUCUGGAAAACAACCGGUCCUCUGAUAGUUUGCUGUCCCUGGUCAUAUUAUGUUGUUAGCCAUUAUAGCUGGCAUUUGAAUCUGUUGGUAUGUCCUGAGAUGGAUUGAUUGGACUCCAUACGUUUUACAUGCAAAGUCAUAUUUUCAUUCCUACAGUUAUGGGCAUGUUCUAUUCCUGAAACUUGCCACUCCCAAGGGAUGCAUGCCACAUCUUGUUAGUAAUUCUUUUCCAGCGAGAUUACUCUGGAGCUUUCAGUGCUCUAUCUUGUCAGCUUGCAUCUACCCUCAACUAAAAUGUGAACGAUCUACAGAAAAAUGUGCUUUUUAUGAGAAUAAGGCACAUUUUUCUGUUUGGAGAAGUAAUUUCAUAAUGUAAUCACUUUCUAGGUUCUAUUUUUAACUGCAGAGCUAAAGGUAAUCACUUUCUAGGUUCUAUUUUUAACAAUUGAAUUGACAUUAACCAGAACGUGCAAGGAUAGCUAUGGUUUUCUUCGAAACUGAAUAUAAGUAAAUAUAAUACAUGUAAAAUCAACACAUGGAAAGUAGCCCCUAUGAACUAAAAAGUUGAAAAGAUAUCUUUUCCAGUCCUGGUUCAUCACGCAUCAUAGUACCUACUAAAUACAUUUAAACCAAACAAUGACAUACCAGCACCAUUGACAUCAGAUUCUCCAGAUGCAACAGCUUCUGCUGCCUGCCUCAAUUCCAUGGCCAAGAAUUCUGCAGAUUCCAAACGUUCAUCAUGUUGCCAUUACAAAUUCCCUAAUACACCAGAACCCUCUUUGGCACCUUGCACUUCUCUCGCAAACAUUUUUACUCUUGGUGCUAUCAUUCUUCUCAUCAGACCCAGUAAGUAACAGAGCAACCGGCUUCAUUUUCCGCUGAAGGUUUAAGAAAAGGUUUGUGGAUACCGCCAAAUGUAUCAUAACCAUUCAUUCUAUGUUCCACCUUCUCGUCAGCCCAAGUAACAGAGCGAUUAAAUUUUUUUGCCCCCGAAGGUUUAAGAGAGGAUCUCAGCAUUGGCUCAUUUGAUUUAUCAGCCUUCUCACCAUGGAAUUCCUCUCUUGCUUCUUUAGGACUUCUAUACAUAAUAGUUUGAGAAGACUCUAAAGUUGAAGACGCCUCCCGAAUGCCAACAUCAUCUUCCUUGGAAAUCUUACUUUUCCCCCCUCUUGAGUGUCUGGAUUUCUUUUCAGAAUCAUUCUUAACUGCACUUCACUCUUUUCUUGAAUCUUCAACUUAGAAAUCCCCAAUCUGCACUUUGCUCUUUUCUUGGAUCUUCAACUUGGAAAUCCAAAUCUCCCCCAAGCCCACUUCGCCUUUGUCAAAACCAUAUCCCCAAAAGCCCUCAAGACCCUCUCAACGUGCAGGCUAAGCAGGUGGGGCUUGUAAAUCUGCACCAUACUGCUUACGUCGAAAUACAGGAAACCAUAUCUGAGCGUUUGGUAGGGAAACUGGUGAUUACUUGAACCUGCGAUAGACUAUGCGAGCAUUGGAAGUCUUCUCACUUUCAUUCAACCUCUUCAGAUGCCCCUUUCCAAGGCCUAAUGGAUGAAUAAUCACCAUUUUCCUCAGGCUUUGAGCAUCCUCAAGGAUAAACCUUAUGAACUCGAUUUGGUUGGUCCCGUAGAAGUGUCGAUUAAGGUCUACGGUUACCUCCUUAAGCUGAGAGAGGAAAGGAAGGUUGCUUGACCUCCAGUAUUCCAUAGUAAGACCUGAACACUGAGAAGGAAGCAGGUAGAUCAAUUGCAAAGUUCCAAAAACAUAUCAAGAAACUAAUGAUAAUUGUCAAACCGAACAUUUUACUUACUUCAUUUAGAAUGCAACGGGGCGGCGAAGACUUCACGUCCAAGAUAGUUAAAUUAGGCAUUGCCCUAAGAAUAGGGACCAAUGCCAACACCAAUUCAAUACUAAAGUUUCCAAUUUUCAUAGAGAAAUAAAAAACGUUCUCUAAGGGCGGUAUUCCUUUCUUGAACAAAGCCUGCAGUUUAUUUAAAAAGAAGAAUUAAACAUCUCACUCUAAAUUAUGUUUCGUAUAACACUUAGCCUGAAGAGUAGUGUCUUUACCUUGAUGGUAUUGUGAUUUAGAGUUAAAGCUUUAACCCGGUGCACGCUGGUAAGGAAGUCAACUGCCUUCACAUCAGGUGAUAGAUCUCUACGUAUUAUAUCGGCCAAAGAAAGCUCAGCCCUUUCUAAGGUCCCGAGCUGGUGGUUGACAGUAAUCCCAUCCCACUCCAAAUUCUUGACAUCUGAAGCAAAUAUGCUUACUGUUGUACACCACUCCGAACGCCAAUCUAUGCGUACAUCUUCAAGCUUAUGACCGAUGAUUUUAAGUCGACGAACUGUCCAACUGUUGCUCGAAAUACUAAAUGAUUUUAGUGAUGAG